Molecule: ribosomal RNA, 433 nt
Filed under: uncultured bacterium
Lineage: Bacteria
Description: partial 16S ribosomal RNA
Rfam family: Bacterial small subunit ribosomal RNA
Source: RNAcentral
AACGAACGCUGGCGGCAGGCCUAACACAUGCAAGUCGAGCGGACCCUUCGGGGUUAGCGGCGGACGGGUGAGUAACGCGUGGGAACGUGCACUUUGCUUCGGAAUAGCCCUGGGAAACUGGGAGUAAUACCGGAUACGCCCUUUUGGGGAAAGAUUUAUCGGCGAAGGUUCGGCCCGCGUUGGAUUAGGUAGUUGGUGGGGUAAUGGCCUACCAAGCCGACGAACCAUAGCUGGUUUGAGAGGAUGAUCAGCCACACUGGGACUGAGACACUGCCCAGACUCCUACGGUAGGCAGCAGUGGGGAAUCUUAGACAAUGGGUGAAACCCUGAUCUAGCCAUGCCGCGUGAGCUAUGAAGGCCUUAGGGUUGUAAAGCUCUUUGACCGGGGAAGAUAAUGACGGUACCCGGAGAAGAAGCCCCGGCUAACUCCGUG